UUUUCUUUUGCUCGCACACAAUGAACAGUGUCUCAGCAUGUGUAUAAUAGAUGGGAAACAUCAAAAUUGGCAUCCAUUGUGUUCUGCAGCUUCAGAUAUGGAAUGGCCUAUAACCAAAGAACUCAAUUCCCCCACAUAUCCGGCAUACAAGAGAACUACUAAGCAGAAUAAGACCACUACAAGGAGGGAAUGAAAAGCACGCAAACGAAAAUGUACUCCAAACAAGCAGGUAAUGCAGAGACAACAGCACGCAAGGACUGGGUUUGAGAACCCUCUGCUAG
This 281-nucleotide long non-coding RNA is filed under the name Chrysemys picta bellii (western painted turtle). RNAcentral describes it as "lncRNA (ENSCPBG00000013852.1)". Lineage: Eukaryota; Metazoa; Chordata; Testudines; Emydidae. The record is from RNAcentral.